ACAUCCUUUAAAACAGUCCCGUGAGGCUGGAAAGGAAUGGAUUAAUGAUAAUGGUUGAAGUAUGUCCAAAUCCCUUCUUUCCUCUCGUGGAAGAAGGGAUUUUUUAU
Molecule: non-coding RNA, 107 nt
Organism: Sediminibacillus halophilus
Lineage: Bacteria; Bacillati; Bacillota; Bacilli; Caryophanales; Bacillaceae
Source: Rfam